Molecule: ribosomal RNA, 253 nt
Filed under: uncultured bacterium
Lineage: Bacteria
Description: partial 16S ribosomal RNA
Rfam family: Bacterial small subunit ribosomal RNA
Source: RNAcentral
UACGUAGAGUGCAAGCGUUGUCCGGAAUUACUGGGCGUAAAGCGUGCGCAGGCGGUCUUUUAAGUCAGAUGUGAAAUCCCCGGGCUUAACCUGGGAACUGCGUUUGAAACUGGAAGGCUUGAGUGUGGCAGAGGGGGGUGGAAUUCCACGUGUAGCAGUGAAAUGCGUAGAGAUGUGGAGGAACACCGAUGGCGAAGGCAGCCCCCUGGGCUAACACUGACGCUCAUGCACGAAAGCGUGGGGAGCAAACAGG